Molecule: ribosomal RNA, 330 nt
Filed under: uncultured bacterium
Lineage: Bacteria
Description: bacterial SSU rRNA
Rfam family: Bacterial small subunit ribosomal RNA
Source: RNAcentral
ACGAGUAUGUCAGAGUUUGAUCCUGGCUCAGGAUGAACGCUGACAGAAUGCUUAACACAUGCAAGUCGACUCGAGUCUUCGGACUUGGGUGGCGCACGGGUGAGUAACGCGUAAAGAACUUGCCCUCUAGACUGGGAUAACAGAUAGAAAUGUCUGAUAAUACCGGAUAUUAUUGUUACAUGGCAUCAUGUAGGAAUGAAAGGAGAAGAUUGCUAAGAGGAGAGCUUUGCAUCCUAUUAGCUAGUUGGUAAGGUAGCGGCUUACCAAGGCGAUGAUAGGUAGCCGGCCUGAGAGGGUGGACGGCCACAAGGGGACUGAGAUACGGCCCUU